Molecule: RNA transcript, 1406 nt
Organism: Xenopus laevis (African clawed frog)
Lineage: Eukaryota; Metazoa; Chordata; Amphibia; Anura; Pipidae
Gene name: sideroflexin-5
Exons: 7
Source: RefSeq, a predicted model, not a curated record
GGUCCCUCAGGAAGCGCAUAAGCAGCUCCUUAUCAGUCAGUUGCAGAGAGGAAUCAUGCGGCGAGUUCCCGACAACCCCCGCGGCGGCCCCUAACUAAUUGACUCCCUCUCUCUCCAUCUCACUGGGCUGCGCGCACAGACUCACGGGAGCAGCAGCCGCAAAUAUGCUGGACAUGGCGGCCCAGACAGACUACCAACCCUUCAUACUCGGGAAGUCCCGCUUCGAGCAGGCAAUUAUCCAUCCAGACACAAAUGAAAAGAUUUUUAUGCCUUUCAGAAUGUCAGGUUGUGGGUCUCCUGCUGCCAAAUCAGACACUGGUUUCAACUGUCUUCUGGCAGUGGCUGAAUCAGAGUCACAAUGCAGGUGUCAACUAUACAAACCGAAAUGCUACGAAUGUGAGAAGCCUCACGUGGGACCUGUAUUGUCUGAGCUACGUGACAUGAUCAUUAAUUGCCCCGGGUGUCUGCCAUUAGCCACACAACUUCCCUGGGGGGCACUUUUUGUUCUCUUUCCUCUUCACUAAAUCUAUUUCCAGAGUUUCCUUGUACCUCAACUCCCGGAUGAUUCGUUCUCCUGUAUCAACUGUCCUACAAAGUAGACGUGACAGAACGUAACAUACAUGUGAUUUGCUCGGGCCUAAGUGAAACCACACGUGUGUGUAUGAGGCACCACAUUAGAUUUAUCACACAGCACUGCAAGGCUUCUGCGGGCUCACUGCAACUGUAUUCAAUCAGCUGAGGGCAGACCAAAGACUAUUGGGGUCUCACUCUGGCUAAUGCCUUCUCCGACAUCAAAGUUCAUUCUGGGAUACACAGGGGCAGUCAUCAGUGGGUCUCCAUUGCAGUUGGCCUUAAUAUUCUUGUCCAGAGAGCUAACAAGUUUACUCCUUCGACCCGUCUCCUGAUCCAGCGCUUUGUACCAUUCCCAGCUGUAGCCAGUGCCAACGUGUGCAACGUGGUCCUGAUGAGACACAGUGAACUAGAGGAGGGGAUUGAUGUUCUGGACAGCAAUGGGCACAUCGUUGGAUCCUCGAGAAUCGCUGCCAGACAUAGGGAUUCGCCUGUGCUGCCAACAUUACACUUUCCUGUCGGGAGCCAAUCUGUAAUCCAUGUUGUCGGAUCUAGGGAAAAGUACUGGCAGGGAGGCAAAUUGCGUGACUUUUUGGCACAAAACAAGGACGUAAAAAAUGUUUUCCCCUUCCAACCCCUAAUUUGCAUAUGCGGGGAACCAAUUUUUUUUAUUAUACAUCAAUUGGGAGUCCACAUCUGAUUUAUAUUUGAGUAAGCCUAAGGGACUCGGCCCAGUUCUUAGGCGAUCACAUAUAAGGAAAUCCUUUAUCCAAAGAUAACUGUCCCAAGGCUUUUGUUUUCAUAAAAAGUAUUGUUUUAUUAAAUUAGCAUUAAAA